UACAGAGGCCCCAAGCGUUAGGCGGAAUCACUGGGCUUAAAGCGUGUGUAGGCGGGUCGUUAAGUACCUUGUGAAAUCCCACGGCUUAACCGUGGAACCGCUUGGUAUACUGGCGAUCUUGAGCCACUUAGGGGCUACCGGAACAGAUGGUGGAGCGGUGAAAUGCGUAGAUAUCAUCUGGAACGCCAAUGGUGAAAACAGGUAGCUGGGAGUGUGCUGACGCUGAGACACGAAAGCCAGGGGAGCGAACGGG
Molecule: ribosomal RNA, 253 nt
Filed under: uncultured bacterium
Lineage: Bacteria
Description: partial 16S ribosomal RNA
Rfam family: Bacterial small subunit ribosomal RNA
Source: RNAcentral